UACGUAGGGUGCGAGCGUUGUCCGGAAUUAUUGGGCGUAAAGGGCUCGUAGGCGGUUUGUCGCGUCGGGAGUGAAAACCCAGGGCUUAACCCUGGGCUGGCUUCCGAUACGGGCAGACUAGAGGUAUGCAGGGGAGAACGGAAUCCCUGGUGUAGCGGUGAAAUGCGCAGAUAUCAGGAGGAACACCGGUGGCGAAGGCGGCAUCCUGGACCAACACUGACGCUGAGGAGCGAAAGCCAGGGGAGCAAACGGG
Molecule: ribosomal RNA, 253 nt
Filed under: uncultured bacterium
Lineage: Bacteria
Description: partial 16S ribosomal RNA
Rfam family: Bacterial small subunit ribosomal RNA
Source: RNAcentral